AUAUAUAUAAAUAUAUAUAUUUAUAUAUAUAUAAUCUAUGUGUGUCAAAGACUGAAUAUGUUUCCUGUGGAAUAAAAUAAAUGCAUCUGCUGAGGGACAGUCAGUGAGUGUGUCUGUGUCCAACUCUUCCUCACAGGUUAGUUAAUGACAGACAGUCAGUGAGUGUGUCUGUGUCCAACUCUUCCUCACAGGUUAGUUAAUGACAGACAGUCAGUGAGUGUGUCUGUGUCCAACUCUUCCUCACAGGUUAGUUAAUGACAGACAGUCAGUGAGUGUGUCUGUGUCCAACUCUUCCUCACAGGUUAGUUAAUGACAGACAGUCAGUGAGUGUGUGUGUGUCCAACUCUUCCUCACAGGUUAGUUAAUGACAGACAGUCAGUGAGUGUGUGUGUGUCCAACUCUUCCUCACAGGUUAGUUAAUGACAGACAGUCAGUGAGUGUGUGUGUGUCCAACUCUUCCUCACAGGUUAGUUAAUGACAGACAGUCAGUGAGUGUGUGUGUGUCCAACUCUUCCUCACAGGUUAGUUAAUGACAGACAGUCAGUGAGUGUGUCUGUGUCCAACUCUUCCUCACAGGUUAGUUAAUGACAGACAGUCAGUGAGUGUGUCUGUGUCCAACUCUUCCUCACAGGUUAGUUAAUGACAGACAGUCAGUGAGUGUGUGUGUGUCCAACUCUUCCUCACAGGUUAGUUAAUGACAGACAGUCAGUGAGUGUGUCUGUGUCCAACUCUUCCUCACAGGUUAGUUAAUGACAGACAGUCAGUGAGUGUGUGUGUGUCCAACUCUUCCUCACAGGUUAGUUAAUGACAGACAGUCAGUGAGUGUGUCUGUGUCCAACUCUUCCUCACAGGUUAGUUAAUGACAGACAGUCAGUGAGUGUGUCUGUGUCCAACUCUUCCUCACAGGUUAGUUAAUGAUGUUACUGAGUCAAUGUGAGCAGAUUGUGUCUGUAGACUGAAGAGAAUCAGAGUCUCACUGAUGGUGGAAAUAAAGGUUUUACUUCCUUAAAACA
Dicentrarchus labrax (European seabass) is the source of this 1013-nucleotide long non-coding RNA. RefSeq lists it as uncharacterized. The record is from RefSeq and is a predicted model, not a curated record. Lineage: Eukaryota; Metazoa; Chordata; Actinopteri; Moronidae. The transcript has 3 exons.